GGGGAUCUUCUGCACUAAGAGAUAGGCGUUCCCUUCGGGGACAGAAUGACAGGUGGUGCAUGGUUGUCGUCAGCUCGUGUCGUGAGAUGUUGGGUUAAGUCCCGCAACGAGCGCAACCCUUAUUACUAGUUGCCAGCAUUCAGUUGGGCACUCUAGUGAGACUGCCGGUGACAAACCGGAGGAAGGUGGGGACGACGUCAAAUCAUCAUGCCCCUUAUGACCUGGGCUACACACGUGCUACAAUGGAUGGUACAACGAGUCGCGAAACCGCGAGGUUUAGCUAAUCUCUUAAAACCAUUCUCAGUUCGGACUGUAGGCUGCAACUCGCCUACACGAAGUCGGAAUCGCUAGUAAUCGCGGAUCAGCAUGCCGCGGUGAAUACGUUCCCGGGUCUUGUACACACCGA
Molecule: ribosomal RNA, 406 nt
Filed under: Pediococcus acidilactici
Lineage: Bacteria; Bacillati; Bacillota; Bacilli; Lactobacillales; Lactobacillaceae
Description: bacterial SSU rRNA
Rfam family: Bacterial small subunit ribosomal RNA
Source: RNAcentral